Long non-coding RNA from Pan paniscus (pygmy chimpanzee), 248 nucleotides. The record is from Ensembl. NCBI's taxonomy places the organism in Eukaryota, Metazoa, Chordata, Mammalia, Primates, Hominidae.
CUGUCUCCUGGCUGGGAUGGAGGAUGGAGGAUGGAGGGAAAGUGGAGGAAGGAUUUGAGAGCCUCUGCUUCCAUGGUGCAAAUGGUCACUGGAAUAUGCAUGUGGACUUUGUGUGGUUAAGAAACUACAUACGCACAGUGGAGUAGUUACUGGGCCAGAGAGCUGAAGUUAACAAAGGAAGAGAUCAUUUCUGCCCCAACCCCUUUGGGCAACAGCACAGUUUCCCAAACUUAAACUAUUAGAAUACA